Molecule: long non-coding RNA, 2083 nt
Organism: Equus asinus (donkey)
Lineage: Eukaryota; Metazoa; Chordata; Mammalia; Perissodactyla; Equidae
Source: Ensembl
GACUCGCACACUGAUUUCCUUUCUCUGGUUACGCUCCUGUCUGCUUCCGUGUUCCCGCUUUCAAAAAUAUCCAGCGCCGUGGCAAAUCGCUCUCAGAAUAUAAAUUUGCUGCCCGCUCUAAAACUUUUCAGUUCCUCGCUGUUUUUAAAAGCCUCGAACGGAGCAGUCAGUCUUGCACCGCGUUCUUUGCGGCGAGAGAAGCCGUUUCAGAGAAGGGCAGCCCGUCUCCAUGGCGACGCUGCAAGAAAACAACAGAAGGGAGGCCAGCGGAAAAACCCCCGGUCGGUCAGUCAGUCGGUCGUCAAGCCAACCAACCUCGCCGAAGCACCGGUGUUUGUUCCGAGCCUCAGAGAGAGCCAUUCGCCCUAAAUACUAAGAAAUACGUAAUUUUUAACACCGAGUUCGGAGGGAAAGAGGAAGCCGAGAAACGUUUACUGGUUUUAUGACUUGAAGGUGGAUUUUUGUGUUUUCAGAAUGGCGUCGGUUCUCCAGCUGCGGCCCGUUGAGUGAGGCUGGCCAGAGACGGAUCAACAAGACAAGAGCAACCAGGCGUCUAUGAACACGUGCAUCGUGCCUGGAACACGCGGGAGCUCCCAGCGAUGAGAACCCAAAGAGGUGUCUCGACAGAUGGACAUUUCUCCUCCGGAAAAGUGAAUUUCCUGUACAGAAAGGACCCUUCUGCCCCGUCCUUGGAGCGUUUCCUGCAUCUGCUGGUUCUCAGUGGCCGUUAGCUGAAAAUAAUCCAUAGACAGAAGAGGCCUAUGCCAGGGUGGCUUGUUCCGGUCCCUUCAGUGGGACCAAAGCAUGUCGGACACAAUCCGAAGGUGUCGCCCUGUCUCAGGUGAUGGGGAGCAAAGAAGGCUAUUCCGUCGCCUGCCACUCGGAAACUUGAUUGACAGACGGCAGACCAACCGUGCAGCAGAAGGACCCAGAACGAGCGUGCCGUGCCUUCCUCGUUCCUGCCCCUGACUCUCGCGUGUCUCCCCACCCGCCCGCACCGAAGGCACCGUGAUGGGAAAGAGAAACAGGUGGGUGCAGAGACGUUAUCACUAACAGCACAGACUCACAAUUGCUUUCGGGGAAAGACGAUUAGAAGGCGUCUGAUCCUCCUCGGACCGGUCUCCCGCGGCUGCCACCACAACGUCCCAUAGACUGCGGGUCUUAAGGCAACAGCAAUGGAUUUGCUCAAGCUUCUAGAGACUGGAAGUCUGAAACCAGGGGGUCAGCAGGGCUGAUUCCUUCUGGAGAGUCUUGGGGAGCGUCCGUUCCAGGCCGCAGCCCUGACUUUAUUCACGUGACCUCAGACGCCACCCACGUCAUCUUGGAAAACCUCCUGCCCAUCGUCUUCCACCCCCGUCACCUUCUCUAGCCAUCGUCCUCCGUAUUCGUCAAGGUUCUCCGGAGAAUCAGAGCCCAUAGGAUACCUAGAGAUAGGUGCAAGAGGAGGUGUAUUCUAGGGAUUGCCUCAUGGGGUGAUGGAGGCUGCGAAGUGCCACCCAUCGAGCUGGAGACCCAGGAGAGCGGGUGGCGGACUCGGUCCAAGACCAAAGAUGGGAGAACCGGCAGCUGCGAAGGCCGAGGGCAGAAGACGGACGUCUCAGCUCAAACAGAGAGCGACUUCCUCUUUCCUCCACCUUUCUUUUUCUACUCUAGCGCUCAACGGGUGGCAUGGGGCCCAUCCACGCUGGGGAGGGCCAGCGGCUUAACUCAGCCCAUGGAUUCACCAUCAGGGGACCACUAUGUCCCGUCCCACCCCCCGUCCCCCCCAGAUUCACAGGCAGCCCAGGCCCAGCCAAGCCGUCAUCCGGGUCUCUCGUCACUGAGGUUUGGCCUCAUUCUUUUGGCCUCCGGCUCUCUCGAAAAGUCAGUCAACAACCUUCCAUUCCCAAAGUGGCCUCGGAUAUAAAAUUAAAGGCACAUGAACACGCUCGCCGGCCGGCCUUUGUUUUUUUUUUUCAGUUCGUUCCACUAACAAUGAAAUCUUUCUUCCUCGUCAUCAUUUCCACUCAGUGGCGUUGAAACAGGAAAGAAUUACGGUUCGAGCUGCAAAAAAAGUUUCCUUUGACUUUUGGCUACAAUAAUG